AAGAACUAUUGCUGGUAUCACCAGCAAGGGAUGUCCGACUAGAAUGAAAAGUUGGUGUUGGUCGUUUCAACUUGCUACCUGAUGAUGGGAUAACCUUAAAAAAAAUAAUAAAAAGGUCACAUUUUACUUGGUAAAAUCUUUGCCAGAAAUUCAACUUUAAAAGGUCUCCUUACACCUCCUUAUAUUUGCUUAGUUGAAAAGCAAAUUAAAAGUCCAGGAAAACAAAGAUUUCUCUUAAAGUAUCCUAGGUCAUAUAUUUUGAUAAUUCCCAAAAUCAAAGUUUUAUGUUCCAAAUAAAAAUUUCAAAAUGUCUUCAAAUACCUUUUGUUUUACUAAUUUCCCCUAGAAAUGAAAAAAAAAAAAUCCUCAGUAAGAAUACAAUAGUUACAACAAACAAUUAUGGUGAAUGAGUAAAGGAAAAAGAAAUUCAAAUAAUACUAGGUAUCAAGAUUUUGGGGUUAAAAAUUUGAAAUGAGUUUUAGCCCACCUAUUUGAUAUGGAGAUUCAAGUAUUACUCCAAUCUUUUUUUAUUUUAUUUUUUUGAGACGGAGUCUCGCUCUGUCACCCAGGCUGGAGUGCAGUGGUGCAAUCUCGGAUCACCGCAAGCUCUGCCUCCUGGGUUCACACCAUUCUCCUGCCUCAGCCUCCGAAGUAGCUGGGACUACAGGCACCCGCCACCACGUCCAGCUAAUUUUUUUGUAUUUUUUAGUGGAGACGGGGUUUCACCGUGUUAGCCAGGAUGGUCUCGAUCUCCUGACCUUGUGAUCUGCCCACCUCAGCCUCCCAAAGUGCUAGGAUUACAGGUGUGAGCCACCGCACCUGGCCCCAAUCUCUUAACACUAAGUAGGUGCAGUAACUUUAGUAAGAUCUUUUAGUCAUUAUCCUUACUGGUAAAAUGCAGAUAAAAUUACUUAACUUGUGGAUCAAAUAAACUAUGAGAAGCACACGACUGUGGGACUGAGACAUCAGGAACAAGUCUGUGCAUGAAGAACCAGGAGACCUGGGUUUGAGUCUGGGUUCCAGGACUGAUUGAAAUUAACACCUGUGUCUUUGCUUCUCUCUUGGGAAAUCAGGGAUUAAAUCCUGCCUCUUUGACUUCAUUUCUACCACACUCCUCAUCAGUCCAUCCCAGCCACACUAGCUUCCUUGCUGUUCCACCAAUGGCCCAGUGAGGGUCCACCAGUCUUGUCCCCUUGCUGUUCAUUUUGCCUGGACUGUUGUUGCACAAUCACCACACCCCAAGCCUACCCCAGAUACACGUGUGGCUCACCCCCUCAUUCCCUGCAGGGGCUCUAUUGAAAGGAUGACCUUAGUAGAGAGGUCUUGUCUCACUACUCAGAACACUGCUUGUACACUUCUAUUCUCUCCCCUGCUUCCUGUGUUCUGCACAGCACAGAAGAGGAACUCAAUAAAAACUUGCAUGAAUAAAUGAUGAAUAGAAGCAUUUCCCAAACUGGAAAAGAGCUACAUAUUAUUAUCACUGCUACCAAUAGGUGCUAUGUUUCCUAUUUGAGUGAUUUUUUUUGGUUUUUUAGAUAGUAGGCUUAACUGGAGGAAAAAGAGUAUUUUAAAUGUGUGGGUGUUUUUUUUUUUUUUUUUUUUUUUUUUGAGACAGAGUCUUGCUCCAUCACCCAGACUGGAGCACAGUGGCAUACUUCAUGGCUCAUUGCAGCCUCGACCUCCCAGGCUCAAGCAAUCCUCCCACCUCAGCCUCCCUAGUGGCUGGCUUAUUUUUGUAUUUUUUGUAGAGACAGGGUUUCUCCAUGUUGCCCAGGCUGGUCUUGAACUCCUGGGCUCAAGUGAUCUGCCCACCUCGGCCUCACAAAGUGUUGGGAUUACAGGGGUGAGCCACCAUGUCCAGCCUUAAAUCUGUGUGGGGUUUUUUUUUUUUUUUUUUUUUUUUGAGGCAGUCUCACUCUGUUGCCCAGGCUGGAGUGCAGUGGCACAAUCUUGGCUCACUGCAACCUCUGCCUCCCAGGUUCAAGUGAUCUCCUGCCUCAGCCUCCCAUGUAGCUGGGACAACAGGCGCCUGCCACCACACCCAGCUAAUUCUGUAUUUUUAGUAGAGAUGGGGUUUUGCCAUGUUGACCAGGCUGAUCCUUAAAUGUUUUAAACAUCCAUUAUUUGACCUUGUCUCUACUUUGCUUUUUAAAAAAUGAAAAAACAAACAAACAAACAAACAAAAAAACCCCCAAAACAUUACUUAUGCCACAUGCUACAGCAUGCCAUUCUAAUUUUUCUUUGAAAUCAAUUAUGUAAAUUGUUUUCCAGGACCUUUAAGACGUUUAUGCAAACAGAAGAGAAAAGCAAUCCAUCUCAUUGUUUGCUGUACUUCUUAAAUUUAUAAAGAAAAAGCAUAAGCGAUAGAAAGUGAUUAACACUCAAGCACAAAAUUUCCUGGCCACAUAGGAGGAAGAACACCAGUUUCAGAAGCUAAGGUUCCUGCGCACUGCUGCUGGAAGACCACAGCUAGAACCCGGGCUAGAAUUCCAAGUCAGGAGAUGGCCUGGCUACAGAACACCAAUAAGUAAGGAAAGAUGAAGCCUCAAAAUGAAAUGAAACAGAAAAUAAAACCUUAAGACAGAACAAAAGCCCUGAUUUAUCAGAACUGUAUGAGAAUUUGUACAUCAUUAAACAUCUAAAAUUUAAAAUAGAACUGAGAUUUUUAUGAAACUGGAGCCAUUAAGGAAAGAAGAAAAGCAAGAUAAGCAGGGUGAGUCUAGUAGUUUAGUGGCAGUAGGUCCCCAGAUCAUAUUCUAAACCAGAUAUAUUUCUGAACUGGAGUUUUAGCUUGAAGUGAAAUGAACCUCAAAACAGCAGCUCAUUCAUAGCCAUUGACUUCUUGUGCAUCCCUUGUUUCCCUGGCUAAGGCUUUCCAAGACUGAAGGCAACACUGUCUUGAGGCACAAGAAUCCAAUGUUUCUUGGUAGGAGCUGGAAUGCAAACUGCACUACUAUCAGACAAGCCACUAGUCCAUGUUUUAUUUCUAAAACACUGCUCUUCCAAAAGCGUUCAGGCACUUUAAUGGCUGCACUUGAACAUGCUUAAUUGCUGGCAUGUGUAUUCAAAUCAAGGCUACAGAAACUCAAGUGCCUAGGCCAAGAAAUUCAGAAGCUAGAAUGUGAGCCUCAGGUCAGUGUUCACUGGUGCUGUGCUUGGCUGAAGGAGACAGCACCCACGCCUCGGACCAGUGUGGUGUGGCAAUACCAACCACCCUGGACAUGUGUCUCAGGGCAGGUGGCGCCAACCACUCUUCUGUUCUAAGCAAAGACAGAACAUUGUAGAACAUGCGCCAUAGUUGAAUUUCAAGUGUUCAUAACUCGUCUGAGUAUCUGACAUUUGGAGAUUCCAAGAGGCCUGAUUAUAAAUGACAUCAAUAAACAAAUCUACAGCAAUGACCAUCAUUUACCAUUCUCAGCAAAUAUCAUUCUCAAGAUUGUUAUAAAGUUAUUAAUCUAGUUUCAGGCAUCUCUUAUUUCUCUCCAAUUUUGGUGAAUCCGAGUUAGAAACCCCUGAAAACACUGGACUAGAUGAAUCAGCUGUGACAGCAAGCACCACAGAGAUGAAAGAGUGCAGGGAUUCGUGUCAGGAAGAAGAGCUGGUCAAGUCCAGUAGCGAGGGCCUCGUCUUGACUGUGUCCUCAGUCAGCAAAGCCAUACUCUACCUCGGGGGUGGGCAGCUGGAGGUCAGGAGAAUGGCUGUCCCUGAUAGGGGUGCCAGCUUUACUGUUUACCAACCAGGGUUUGUCAUAACAGCGAGAGAACUGAAGUGAAGUCUGUGAAACGGAAAUCCAAAGGGAAGGACAGGAACAAUUGAAAAAGGAACAAAAAGGGUGCACAUUGGGAACAGAAAAAAAUAAAUAGAAGAUACUAAAUUUUAAAGAAACAGAAAACAAAAUAAAAUGCAUGUUGGUCCAUCAGGAUGAGAAGGACCAGGCAGGCACUAACAUCAUUCACACAUAACCCAUCAUAACAUCAAACUUAGCUGUUAGCUCCACUGCACAGCCAGUGCCUGGAUUUUCUGUCCUUUUUCCUUAUUUUUUUUUUUUUUAAUUUUUAUUUUUUAGAGACAGAGUCUCACUCUGUUGCCCAGGCUGGAGUGCAGUGGUGCAGUUCAUAGCUUACUGCAGCCUUGUAUUCCUGGGCUCAAGCAAUCCUCUUGCCUCAGCUUCCUGAGUAGCUGGGACUAUAGGUGCUCACCACCAUGCUAGGCUAAAUUUAAAAAUUAGAGAUGAUAAAUUUAGAAAUUUGUAGAGAUGGUCUUGCUAUGUUGCCCACGCUGGUCUUCAACUUCUGGUCUCAAGGGAUCCUCCCACCACAGCUUCCCAAAGGCUGGGAUUACAGGCAUGAGCCACUGUGUCCAGCCUGGAUUUUCAAAAGUAGUAACACUGGAUGGGCUCAAACUUAAACUGAGAACAUGAGGAAAUAAACAUUUCUGACAUAACCAGGCUGAGUGCAUAUUUUAAUAAAUGUCCUUUGGAGUCAUCUUAAAGGCCAUAUAUCUGUGUACUGCUAGGAACAGGGCAGUCUUGAUCUGUGUGUUUUCACGUUUUAUUUCUAAAAUAGAAAACAUGUUUUCAUUUUUAUUUCUUCUCCUCACUGGAGUCUUUCAGAGGCUACCGUGAACAAUGAACAUCUGUGAGGGUGGGAUUGGGGAAGAAGGGCAUAAUGGAGAUCAGUACAUACCUUGGUUCCACUGGCUGGGGUGGCUGGAGAAG
RNAcentral lists this long non-coding RNA (4717 nucleotides) under Homo sapiens (human). RNAcentral's name for it is "HSALNT0005298". The record is from RNAcentral. Lineage: Eukaryota; Metazoa; Chordata; Mammalia; Primates; Hominidae.